RNAcentral lists this ribosomal RNA (379 nucleotides) under uncultured bacterium. RNAcentral describes it as "bacterial SSU rRNA". It matches the Rfam family "Bacterial small subunit ribosomal RNA", at positions 790 to 1167 of the family's 1533-position model. The record is from RNAcentral.
GUAGUCCACGCCGUAAACGAUGAGAACUAGUUAUAGCGGGUAUAGACCCCUGCUUUGACGAAGCUAACGCAUUAAGUUCUCCGCCUGGGGAGUACGGUCGCAAGACUAAAACUCAAAGGAAUUGACGGGGGCCCGCACAAGCGGUGGAUUAUGUGGUUUAAUUCGAAGCAACGCGAAAAACCUUACCUGGGUUUGAAAUCCGGAGAACCUUCUAGAGAUAGAGGGGUGCCCGCAAGGGAAUUCCGUGACAGGCGCUGCAUGGCUGUCGUCAGCUCGUGUUGUGAAAUGUUGGGUUAAGUCUCGCAACGAGCGCAACCCCUAUUCUUAGUUGCCAGCAUUAAGUUGGGCACUCUAAGGAGACUGCCUGGGUUAACCAGGA